CCUGGGUCUGGGCAAGCUUUCCUUGGGCCUUGAAGAGGGCUUUGUCCGCCGCCGACCGACGCGACCCCUUCCCACUAAAAACGCCGCAGCAGAACAGGCUGCUCUCCUCCUUCUCCAGCAGGCCGUCGUCGGGCGACAGUGCCGUCUCACACUCACCUCGGAGAUGUUUCCAUGCUUCGACCGUCGCGGCAGCAACUCGGCGAGAAGGUUCUUCACUGAAGCUGGGAGAGCGAGUCGAGUGAGAGGGUCUCAGAGAGAGAGAGGACAACGACUCGGAGGCGCGAGGAGGAACCACAGAUGAGCGGGAAGGCAGCAGCCAGGCGACGAGUCGGCGCCAACGAUUGCCCAAGCUCUGCGGUCCUCUACAGUUUGAGGUGGUGUGGGCCAAUUAAUGUGGGAGGAAACCGGAGCACCUGAAUAAUAACUGAACAAAAAAUGUUUACCAGGUAAAGCUCACUCAGCUAUACAGCUCUUUUUUUCAGAAACGACCUGGCCCCAAAUGAUAGCUCAACGAAGUGGCUUAUCUUGUGGAAAUUUACAGCAGUCAAAUACUCAAAACGCUCGUUUAUUCUGUAUCUGAGGAGGUAAAAACCGGAGGACCCGGAAAAAAUCCACGCGACCACGGGGAGACAGAGACAUGCAAACUCCAAAUAUACAGCAGGCGUCUGGGUCGGGAUCGAAUCCACGACCUCCUGUAUACCAGGCGAGGUAGUUAACAUCUCACCACCGUGGCGCCCAUGCGUGCGAAGGGGGCAAACACUCAAUCCCAUGCAGUCCACAUUCUUCCUUUACCGCCUUCUCCUGGCAUAGCCAGGGCAUGGCACCUCCUCGACGCCCACGGCAAGGGAGUUUCACAACAUCGAAGUGCGGUGAUCCACCGACCCUCGCUGCUGCCUCCACAGUGCAGCAGCCACGUGCAGCAGCGUAGCCGCCAGCGCCCAGCUUUUGUUGUGUGCGUGUGUACACAGGAGACGGUAAAAACAACGAGGCAUGAGCAAAUAAUGAAUGAAAUUGUAAAUUCUGAAUCGUGACGAAUUAAAUUACUGGUGGGCUACAUAACUGCGUCCCUACGAACCAUCCGCCAGCAGCAGGUCUAGCGAUGUUUUCAAUCUCAGAUCAUUCUAAUGUUUUACAUUUCCAUGCAUUCGUUUUCCUUCUUUAGCAGGCAGAUGCUGAUACAUUAAUCCAGAGAUCAUAUGUCAUUGUCUUCCUCGUCCAAGUAUUAGCUGCACUCAUUUGAUAUGUCGGUGUGUCUGAGCCAUACGUCACAGCAGGUGAUAGAUGCACCGUUUGUAAACGUGAUUCCCUGAGCACAUAGCUAUGUUGCUAUUCAGAAGCACUCCGAUCUAACGUCGUCCCCCUCUCUUAUGUCCUGUCUAUGAUCCCGGUCUGCCUUCAAUAACUCCCCUAGGUAUACAUGUGAGCAUUGCAUUUUCCAGUUCCUCCAACAUUGAUUCCAUAGGGAGCUACAAUGAUUUUACAAUAUUUUUCCACAGAAACUUUCACCACUCUACAUGGUCAAUAGGCCUGAUUAGGUACGUCUUCAUGCUAAGUAUAUGGUACAGUAUUUACAUGAGAUGGAUGUGACUGUGAUUCUCGUAUUGUAAAAUGUUUUAGCACUAAAGUCAGGACUGGACUUAGGAAUGGACGAUCGGGGCGGCUACUCAUGGGCGAAAAUUUGUAAUGGAAAAUAAUGAGGGCAUCGCCAUGGGCAAAUAGGGGUAGAGAGAAAGACACGGAGAGAAACACACACGGCGAAAGAUAGACACAGAAAUAGGCAGUGAGAGACGUAGGAGUACAGUGAGAAACAAACACAACAACAAUAACCGACAUUAGCCACUAAGUGGCGGUGACGUCACUACGACGCUUGUGCCAGGCUAUGUGCACCUUGAG
Molecule: non-coding RNA, 1893 nt
Organism: Petromyzon marinus (sea lamprey)
Lineage: Eukaryota; Metazoa; Chordata; Hyperoartia; Petromyzontiformes; Petromyzontidae
Source: RefSeq, a predicted model, not a curated record